Molecule: ribosomal RNA, 468 nt
Filed under: uncultured bacterium
Lineage: Bacteria
Description: partial 16S ribosomal RNA
Rfam family: Bacterial small subunit ribosomal RNA
Source: RNAcentral
GACGAACGCUGGCGGCGUGCUUAACACAUGCAAGUCGAACGGAAAGGCCCUGCUUUUGUGGGGUGCUCGAGUGGCGCAAGGGUGUGUAACACGUGAGUAACCUGCGCUUUACUUUGGGAUAACUUCAGGAGACUGGGGCUAAUACCGGAUAGGAGCUCCUGCUGCAUGGUGGGGGUUGGAAAGUUUCGGCGGUUGGGGAUGGACUCGCGGUUUAUCAGCUUGUUGGUGGGGUAGUGGCUUACAAAGGCAUUGACGGGUAGCCGGACUGCGAGGGUGACCGGCCACAAUGGGACUGAGAUAGGACCCAGACGGCUACGGGGGGCAUCGGUGGGAAAUUUUGCACAAUGGGCGGAAGCCUGAAACAGCAACGCCGGGUGCGGGAUGACGGCCUUCGGGGUGUAAACCGCUUUAGCCUGGGACGAAGCGUGAGUGACGGUAAUGAGUAAAGAAGCACCGGCUAACUACGUG